This 545-nucleotide long non-coding RNA is filed under the name Elaeis guineensis (African oil palm). RNAcentral's name for it is "long non-coding RNA (EGUI_LNC062224)". Lineage: Eukaryota; Viridiplantae; Streptophyta; Magnoliopsida; Arecales; Arecaceae. The record is from RNAcentral.
UAUUUUAUUUGAUCAACUGAUCUCCAUUGGGCAAGCACUUGCUUCGAACGUAGUUCGCCCUUAAGCUGACUUAUUCUGAUGGCUGAUUUUCACUGGGCUUCACUUGCGGCUUUGGCGAUCGCAUCCCUUUCCUUGACUAGUUUAUGCUUAUUGGCAAUAUAAUCACAUAAAUUUAGUCGAGAACCUUCAUGGAUAUGAUCCAUUUCAGUCGAGAGGUCCUCACACUUCUUCAUCAUGACCAGCAGAUCCUAUUCGGCCUUGGCCAUAAUUUUUCUUGCUCUGAUAAGCGCCUUGUGUAGCACAUCAACUUGUGGUUGGAUGGGCAAUGCCGAUCUUAUGAUUGAAAAACUGGUUCGUUGCCUAUGUUGACCCGACUGAAAGCAAACGGUAAACAUCAGGAAAAGCCAUUUUCACAAAAGAGGGUAAUGCUAAUAAGAAGAGAAAAUAAAAUUUUCUUUUUCAUUAAUUCAAAAUAUUGUUUACAUUGCUCGGGCAUAAAUAGAUAUAGUUGUCCUAAGUUUUUCUAACCUUAGUCUGGGCCACGA